Molecule: long non-coding RNA, 814 nt
Filed under: Canis lupus familiaris (dog)
Lineage: Eukaryota; Metazoa; Chordata; Mammalia; Carnivora; Canidae
Description: lncRNA (ENSCAFG00845006952.1)
Source: RNAcentral
GUCUGACAAAUUCUAAUGUUUCAUACAAAAUUCUUUUCUGAGCUGUCUAUUUUGCAUAGAUCUGAUGGGAAUUAAAUAGCUCUUUCUCCUCAACUGAAAAAUCGAUAUUCAGAACUCAUCUGAUAUCAAAUUUUGCUCUCAGUUUAAUCCAUGAUUAAUUGAAACAUGUCUCAUAUUUCUUGCUUUUUAUUGUCCUUUUAAAAAUGCCAUACAGAAAUCAUCAUAAAUCUAUUAUUUCAUCAUAGAAUUAAAAUAUGUAUUGAAAUGGCAUCACUUUAACAAAAAUGCAGGAUUUUUGUCAAGUUAAGAUUAAAAAUGUUUCAUUAUUCAAUUUACUCAGCCAUACUUUCUACAGGAAUUCAAUACAUCUAGCUUUCCAGUUCCUCUGUGGAAUACUUCAUCAUCUGGCAUAUGACCUCAGACCAUCUCCCAGCAUCUGUGUCUGCAGCCAUUGUACCUCAGCCUCUUGGGGCCAAGCAGGGCCCAUAUGUGUGCUUUGUGUGAAACAGCUCCCUGAAGCAGUUUUUGAAGCAGCAUGGGAGUGGAGGAGUCAUGAAGGCUGGUUCUACCCCAUGGUAUCACAGUGGUCAGGGUUUGGGGAGGGACAGUGGAAUACUUCUAGAAAAUCUUUUCAGGUAAGAAACACAAGAAAGGUGGUGCUCUUGUAAGAAAGUGCCCUGUAUAGAGAGCAGGAGCCCCAUAUUCACACCAAGGUGUAGCUCAUUGGUCCAAUUUUCUAAAAGUCACUCACUCUGCUGGAAGAUCUGUGAUUACAUGUCAGCUCCAAAUAGAGAGCCCCAAGUUCUCCCUGGAA